RNAcentral lists this transfer RNA (72 nucleotides) under Stegodyphus dumicola. Its description in RNAcentral is "tRNA-Asp". It matches the Rfam family "tRNA". From Rfam's summary of the family: Transfer RNA (tRNA) molecules are approximately 80 nucleotides in length. The record is from RNAcentral. Lineage: Eukaryota; Metazoa; Arthropoda; Arachnida; Araneae; Eresidae.
UCCUCGGUAGUAUAGUGGUGAGGUAUCCCGCCUGUCACGCGGGAGACCGGGGUUCGAUUCCCCGCUGGGGAG